This 253-nucleotide ribosomal RNA is filed under the name uncultured bacterium. RNAcentral's name for it is "partial 16S ribosomal RNA". It matches the Rfam family "Bacterial small subunit ribosomal RNA", at positions 524 to 776 of the family's 1533-position model. The record is from RNAcentral.
UACGGGGGGGGUAAGCGUUGUUCGGAAUUACUGGGCGUAAAGGGCUCGUAGGCGGCCAACUAAGUCAUACGUGAAAUCCCUCAGCUUAACUGGGGAACUGCGUGUGAUACUGGAUGGCUUGGAUUUGGGAGAGGGAUGCGGAAUUCCAGGUGUAGCGGUGAAAUGCGUAGAUAUCUGGAGGAACACCGGUGGCGAAGGCGGCAUCCUGGACCAAUUCUGACGCUGAGGAGCGAAAGCCAGGGGAGCAAACGGG